RNAcentral lists this ribosomal RNA (1342 nucleotides) under Calocaris macandreae. RNAcentral's name for it is "16S ribosomal RNA". The stretch from base 610 to 1342 matches the Rfam family "Archaeal large subunit ribosomal RNA", at positions 1423 to 2834 of the family's 2987-position model. Lineage: Eukaryota; Metazoa; Arthropoda; Malacostraca; Decapoda; Axiidae. The record is from RNAcentral.
AUAAAGAAAACUUGUAGAUUGUUGAAUCGCUUGUUUUGUAAAUAAUAAAAAUAUUUUUAAAAUUUAAAAAGAGUAUUAAAAAAAGAAUUUAAAUUUAUUUACUAUAGAGAAUAGUACUGUAAGGGAAAGUUAAGAGGUGUUAAAAUUUAAUAAAUAGAAAAGUUGUGCCUUGUGUAUCAGAAAAAAUCUAAAUUAAAAAAAUAAGGUUUAAAUCUCGAAACAAAGUGAGCUAAGAGGAAAUUUAAGUUUCUUUUUAAAAAUAAUUUUUAAUUUCUUUUUAGAGGUGAAAUGCCUUUCGAAUUUUGAGGUAUCUAGUUUUCUUAGAAGUAAAUUUAAUUUGAUGUCUAUUUAAAUUUAAAUAGAGAGUUAAAUCAGGAGGGUAGAGCUUCUUGGUAAUAUUUUAUAUAGAAAUAUAAAUUGAGGAUUAAACUAGGCUUGAAGGUGGUCAUGUUUGGAGAGUGUUAAAACUCAAGAUUUGGGUUUAUAAUAUUUAAUAAUUCUUAUUUUUAAUGUAUAAGGAUGUUUAAGUAAACAUUUGGUUAAAGUAAUAAUGAUUUUAUUAGUAAAUAAUUAUAUUGGGAAUCAAUAUUAUAAUCAGGAGAAAUUAUAUAAAGUUUGAUAGAUUUUUAAGGAACUCGGCAAAGCAGUUUCUGCCUGUUUAUCAAAAACAUGUCUGGUUGUAGCUAAAAUCAGUCGGACCUGCCCCCUGAUGGUUUAAAGGGCCGCGGUAUUUUGACCGUGCGAAGGUAGCAUAAUCAUUAGUCUUUUAAUUAAAGGCUGGAAUGAAGGGUUUGACAAGAAAUUGACUGUCUUACAAAUUGAGAUUGAAGUUGACUUUUAAGUGAAAAGGCUUAAAUUUUUUUUAAAGACGAUAAGACCCUAUAAAAUUUUACAUUAUAUAGAUUGGUUUCAAAUUAUUUGUGUAACUUUAUUAUUUUAAUAUGUGUUUCGUUGGGGUGAUGAAAGUAUAAGUUUAACUGCUUUAUGUUAUAAACAAAUAUAUUUGAUAAUUUAUUGAUCCUUACUUAAAGAUUAAAGAAAAAAUUACUUUAGGGAUAACAGCGUUAUUUUUUUUGAGAGUUCCUAUCGACAAAAAAGUUUGCGACCUCGAUGUUGAAUUAAAAUUUCUUUAUAGUGCAGCAGCUAUAAAAGAAGGUCUGUUCGACCUUUAAAUUUUUACAUGAUUUGAGUUCAGACCGGUGUAGCCCAGGUUGGUUUCUAUCUUGAAAGAUAAAAUUAAUGACCUUAGUACGAAAGGAUUAGGUUGUUGAAAUAGUUUUAGGACAAGAAUAUUAGUGUUGAUUUUGCCAAAGAUGGUAGUUGACUGAAAUCAAAUAUAUAA